Molecule: ribosomal RNA, 253 nt
Filed under: uncultured bacterium
Lineage: Bacteria
Description: partial 16S ribosomal RNA
Rfam family: Bacterial small subunit ribosomal RNA
Source: RNAcentral
UACAGAGGGGGCAAGCGUUGUUCGGAAUUACUGGGCGUAAAGGGUGCGUAGGCGGGUCUUUAAGUCAGGGGUGAAAUCCUGGAGCUCAACUCCAGAACUGCCUUUGAUACUGAGGAUCUUGAGUUCGGGAGAGGUGAGUGGAACUGCGAGUGUAGAGGUGAAAUUCGUAGAUAUUCGGAAGAACACCAGUGGCGAAGGCGGCUCACUGGUCCGGUACUGACGCUGAGGUGCGAAAGCGUGGGGAGCAAACAGG